CCUACGGGUGGCAGCAGUGGGGAAUAUUGGACAAUGGGGGGAACCCUGAUCCAGCCAUGCCGCGUGUGUGAAGAAGGCCCUCGGGUUGUAAAGCACUUUCAGUGAGGAAGAACGCCUGGUGGUUAAUACCCAUCAGGAAAGACAUCACUCACAGAAGAAGCACCGGCUAACUCCGUGCCAGCAGCCGCGGUAAUACGGAGGGUGCGAGCGUUAAUCGGAAUUACUGGGCGUAAAGCGCGCGUAGGUGGCUUGAUAAGCCGGUUGUGAAAGCCCCGGGCUCAACCUGGGAACGGCAUCCGGAACUGUCAAGCUAGAGUGCAGGAGAGGAAGGUAGAAUUCCCGGUGUAGCGGUGAAAUGCGUAGAGAUCGGGAGGAAUACCAGUGGCGAAGGCGGCCUUCUGGACUGACACUGACACUGAGGUGCGAAAGCGUGGGUAGCAAACAGGAAUAGAUACCCUGGUAGUC
Molecule: ribosomal RNA, 465 nt
Filed under: Vreelandella stevensii
Lineage: Bacteria; Pseudomonadati; Pseudomonadota; Gammaproteobacteria; Oceanospirillales; Halomonadaceae
Description: partial 16S ribosomal RNA
Rfam family: Bacterial small subunit ribosomal RNA
Source: RNAcentral